UUAACACAAUAAAAAAGAAAGAUUUGGGGGAAAUGGGAACCAGCCUUGCGCAUCUAAAACAGAAGCUAUACAAGUGGGGAAAAAGGGACGCAGAAGAGGAACAAAGGAGAAGAAGAAGAAAGAGGCUGGAAGCAAACUUCGAAAAUUUUAAAUAUGUACUGGCUCUUACGGGUAGUUGAAGAAGUCAAACGAAGUGCUCGCAACGAUAAGUUUGAUAUUUCUGCACGAGUACUAGACAUCAGUUGACGCAGGUGAGGGUUUUGUUAAUUAGAGCGCACAAGUUGAGAAUUCUUGGUGAGCCUCGCACUUGUUCGCGUGGGCGGAGAUUUUUAUCAAUUGUUAUGGUCUUUCCUUUAAAUUCUUAGAGUCGCUCUAUAGUCAUUCUUUUAGUGUCAUGAGUAUUAUUUUGCUAUUAGUCUUAUGUUGAGUAUCGUUCUUUAGUAUCAAAAUUGGAGAUAAUUAGUGUUUCUGGUUGUUAGUGGGUUGAUUAGUAAUGGUGGAGACUUCGGUUUUGGCAAAUUGAUAAGUUGUCAAUUGUUUGGUAUGAUAUUAGGAUGUUUGGUUGCUGAUUG
Molecule: long non-coding RNA, 572 nt
Organism: Nicotiana attenuata
Lineage: Eukaryota; Viridiplantae; Streptophyta; Magnoliopsida; Solanales; Solanaceae
Exons: 3
Source: RefSeq, a predicted model, not a curated record